Non-coding RNA from Elaeis guineensis (African oil palm), 1466 nucleotides. Lineage: Eukaryota; Viridiplantae; Streptophyta; Magnoliopsida; Arecales; Arecaceae. The record is from RefSeq and is a predicted model, not a curated record.
ACCUCACCUUCCUCAUGGUGAAAAUUACUUCAAAACUAUUCAAUUCUUCUCCAAUCUAAGAAGAAAAAACGAAUGAGAUAUUUUAGUUACCUGUUUUGUAGGUUGGCUACCCAGAAGUAGAUAUUAGCUGUUAGUAAAUACAUGCAUUGGAUCCUCCAGAGUGGAGUCCAUCAAACAGCCAUGUGUUUACUUGCCACACUGCUGCUAGGGUCCUUCCCUCUCCCAAUCUCCCAUAAAUUCUUUCUCAACUAAUUAUUAAGUGAUUGCUAAGUGCUUGCUAUGGAGGAGAUUGUUAGAGAAAGAGGAAGAGAGGUGGCCUUUAAACGGCCCGUGUGCUGGAUUAGCUCUCCUACUUCCAACCGGAAGUCAUUACUCCCUUGAGACCACCGAGUCCGAGAGCGAUUGGAAUAAAUACCAGAGAGAUGGGUCGCGUGGUCUCUGCACCCAGUCCUUGCCUCCCUUUCUCUCUUCUUCUUCCUUCUUUGGCCGCAGUGGAUUUGGAUCCGGACCCUCGGGCACGAUGAAGAUGACCGUUGUGUCUCGGAGCGGCAGACCAGUCAUCAAGGGCGUGAUCGAGCUCCAGGAUUCGGCCACCGUGAGCGAUCUACAGGAUGCCAUUCAUGCGCGAAAUUCAGCCAUGCUACUUCACCUCUCUCCCAUGUAUUCAGGAACUGCACCUCUUAUUGUACUUUUGGCUCGUAUAUUGCAUACUAUGCCAAUCAUUCCUUCUAUGCACCUGUUAGUGAUUUGCAAAUGAAGAUAGGGUUUUGCUUUGGGUUGAUCUGGCAAGUUUCAAACUUUUAUUGCCAUCUCCUGUUGAGAAACAUUGGAAGCACUGAUGGCAGUGGUGGUUAUCAAAUUCCUCAUGGUUUUUUGUUCAACAUAGUGACUUGUGCAAACUACGCGGCAGAGAUCUAUCAGUGGCUUGGUUUCAACAUUGCUACACAGACAGUAGCAGGUUAUGUGUUCCUUGUGGUGGCUGCUCUCAUUAUGACUAACUGGGACCUUGCGAAGCACCACAGGCUGAAAAAGAUAUUUGAUGGGAAAGAAGGAUGACCUAAAUAUCCUCGGCAGUGGAUGAUACUUCCUCCAUUUCUCUAAUAAGUAACAGUCCUCUUGGUUGGUUUCUCUGUUCUCAAGAUCCUAACAAUCCAAGUCGAACCAUGUCUGCGAAAUUUAGUAGAUUGUAGAGCUGUAGACCACUGUAUCUGUUUGAGUCACCAAAAAAGUUAAAUGAGCAUAAUUGCUUGUGGAGUGCAUGGUACUCUGCUAAGUUCAUUGUUUAACUUAUUUUAUCCAAGGUACCUCUUCUCACUUUUCUUUUUUUUAAUUUCAAAGUUAUGUAUGUUCAACCAAAUCCAGACACCAAGACAUGGUUGGUCACAGGUCUCGUCAAUUACUCGGUUGUGGUUGUUUUUUCACUCGCUGAAUCUUCCGCUUAAAUGAAGCUGUGGAUAUUAAAACAA